Panicum virgatum (switchgrass) is the source of this 1604-nucleotide long non-coding RNA. RefSeq lists it as uncharacterized. The record is from RefSeq and is a predicted model, not a curated record. NCBI's taxonomy places the organism in Eukaryota, Viridiplantae, Streptophyta, Magnoliopsida, Poales, Poaceae. The transcript has 3 exons.
CACACCGCUGAUCCUCCGCGCGCCACCCCGCUCCUCCUCGUCGCGAUAGGUGACGCCACGUUGGGCUGCCCGCGCCACCACGCUGCGCCGACCUACCCAUCGGGCCGCCGCGGAGGAGAACGGAUGAGGAGCUGCAGCGUUGACCUGCCCAACGGGCACACGCAUCGAGCCGCCACGACGCCGCGCCUCCCGCCCCUCGCCAGCUCGACUUUGCUCCCCUUCCUCUGCAGGCACGCGUAGCGCCGGCUAGCGGCGUCUCCUUCUCCCCUUCCCCGCGGCUGCCGGCUCCAUCGGUGACCCAUGACAGACGAGAGGCGCCGGGCAUCGGACGCCAAGAGCAGGAGAACCAGCGGCCCGCUUGCGCCGGCGCGGCGGAGGCAACGCCCGCGGAAGGGGAUGAUGCCAGCAGCGAUGGCAUUGAGAUCUGUUGCUUCGACAACUGCGGCACCGGCAGUAGCUCCGUGCCCCCGAACAAAUCCUACUGCUUGAGUUUCAGCUCCCGAUCUCCUCCUCCCAGAGAUCCAAUUCCCCUUCAAAUGCAAUCAGAAGCAGGAUCUUGGUGAUGACUCGACCAGGCGUGCAGCACGGGGGCCUCCGCGCCACCGGGCAGGGGCCACGUUCGGCGCUCCAGCUCCAGCUCCCGGGCGACAGCCUAGAUCCGGAGGAGCGCCACGGCGAGGUCCGCCAAACCGGCAUCGCCGCGGGACGGAGCGGGCGCGGCCAACGAGCGUGGCGAGGUCCUGCUACAUUAGCCACGGUGCUGGCGCUGGCGCGGGCAUCGUCGGGAAUCGAUUUGGCAUGACGAUCAAUUGGGGGAUUUUGGCUGGGACUCUUUGGUCGUCGUCACUUUUGUUACGUUUGGUUGACUUUGUCCAACGUCGCUUCAGACUUCAGCUACCAGGCCCGGACGACGAUCAUGGCGAAGGACACCUUGGUCUUGAUGGAUCAUUUGGGGUGGAAGAAAGCACAUGUCUUUGGCCACUCUAUGGGUGUACUGAUUUCUUGCAAGCUAGCUGCAAUAGCGCCUCACAGGCUGUGAGAUGUGAGUUUUCAGACUUUAUCUUGUGUUGCUGAGUCUUCGGUACCAGAUUACUAAAUACAACUGCAAGAAUAGGAAGUGAAGCAACAAGGGUUUCAACUGCAAGAAUCCAUGUCUGUAGUAAUCUGCCCUUUCUUGAAACCCUCAAUUCGAAUGCUUGAAUACACAUCUACUAUAAAUUAUAUUAGUAUUUAGGAGAAAACAUUAAUUUGUCUCUGCAACCUUCUAUUUCUGGUAGAGCAGUCCCAAGAGAUAACAUGCUAAACUUCAAUCAGCAUAUCCCUGAUGGUUGCUGCGACAAAAAAGAAAGGUGCUUUUGUUAGCUAGCUGCACGGCAUGGACAUGGUUAAACAUCCAGUAAAUGCUAAGGAUCCUUGAACAAGUUGCAACUAUGAUUGAGCAGAUGCAUAUCCUACUUGAUCUAAUAACAGCAUCUAAUUUUUUUCCCCUGCAUCUUCACUACUUGCAACAUGUGUCCAUCCACUAUAGUAUCAUUCAUUCAAUAUUGAUGUGUACACUAGCUUGUAACUACUUCCUACUAUAAUGAAAUUUUGUCAGAGCACCA